AACGAACGCUGGCAGCAUGCCUAACACAUGCAAGUCGAACGAGACCUCCGGGCCUAGUUGCGCACGUGUGCGUAACGCGUGGGAAGCUGCCCUUGGGUUCGGUAUCACUGAUUGUAACGUCUGUUCAUACCGGAUGGUGACGUAAGUCCAAAGAUUUAUUGCUCCGGGAUGAGCCCGCGUAGGAUUGGCCAGUUGGUGGGGUAAAGGCCUACCAUGGCGAUGAUCCUUAGCUGGUCUGAGAGGAUGAUACGCCACGCUGGGACUGAGACACGGCCCAGACUCCUACGGGAGGGAGCAGUGGGGUGUAUUGGAGGAUGGGCGAAGGCGUGAUCCAGCAAUGCCGGGUAAGUGAUGAAGGCCGUAGGAUUGUAAAGCUGUUUUACCCGGGGUGUUAGUGACGGUACCGGGAGAAUAAGCCCCGGCUAACUACGUG
RNAcentral lists this ribosomal RNA (433 nucleotides) under uncultured bacterium. Its description in RNAcentral is "partial 16S ribosomal RNA". It matches the Rfam family "Bacterial small subunit ribosomal RNA", at positions 29 to 507 of the family's 1533-position model. The record is from RNAcentral.